Molecule: ribosomal RNA, 274 nt
Filed under: uncultured bacterium
Lineage: Bacteria
Description: partial 16S ribosomal RNA
Rfam family: Bacterial small subunit ribosomal RNA
Source: RNAcentral
AUACAGAGGGUGCAAGCGUUAUUCGGAAUUACUGGGCGUAAAGCGCGCGUAGGCGGAUGAUUAAGUCAGUUGUGAAAGCCCUGGGCUCAACCUAGGAACUGCAUCUGAUACUGGUCGUCUAGAGUUUAAGAGAGGGAAGUGGAAUUCCAGGUGUAGCAGUGAAAUGCGUAGAUAUCUGGAGGAACAUCAGUGGCGAAGGCGACUUCCUGGCUUAAAACUGACGCUGAGGUGCGAAAGCGUGGGUAGCGAACGGGAUUAGAUACCCUAGUAGUCC